ACAAGACCAGGUGUGUCGGCACCUCCCUGCUCAGUGCCCAGCAGAGAUAUGAUCAUGUAAAACUUACCUACAAUAUUCAUUUCAAACUGCUAAAUUAGAGCAUUUAGUGACCCCUGCAGGCAUGUUGCACUUCCCAUACUGAGGCUUUGCCAGAGUGGCCUCCUGUAGGGUCUGACUUGGGAUCCUGUCCAGCCAAGGAAGCUCUUCUUCAGCCUGCUCCGAUGCCCACAGUUGCCCCCUCAGCAUCCCCUCGGGGUUCUCAUGUAGAUGGGGACAUCUUAACUAAGCGGAAGGCAGGCAUUUCAGCAGAAUUAAGUGUAGCGGGGGCUCAUUUAAUAAAGCCCUCCCAA
Molecule: small RNA, 350 nt
Filed under: Pongo abelii (Sumatran orangutan)
Lineage: Eukaryota; Metazoa; Chordata; Mammalia; Primates; Hominidae
Description: processed transcript
Source: RNAcentral